UUUGAUACCUGGCAGAGGAGAUACCAUGAUCAUGAAGGUGGUUUUCCCAGGGCCAGGCUUAUCCACUGCACUUUGGAUGUGCUUGGCCCCUGUGAUUUCCCCUAAUGUGGGAAACUCAACUGCAUAGUUUGUGGUAGAGGUAGACUGCAUUCGCACUCUUCCCUG
Small nuclear RNA from Artibeus jamaicensis (Jamaican fruit-eating bat), 165 nucleotides. RefSeq annotates it as U1 spliceosomal RNA. The transcript has a single exon. The record is from RefSeq and is a predicted model, not a curated record. Lineage: Eukaryota; Metazoa; Chordata; Mammalia; Chiroptera; Phyllostomidae.